RNAcentral lists this long non-coding RNA (1236 nucleotides) under Sus scrofa (pig). Its description in RNAcentral is "lncRNA (ENSSSCG00055004401.1)". Lineage: Eukaryota; Metazoa; Chordata; Mammalia; Artiodactyla; Suidae. The record is from RNAcentral.
AAAAGAGGAAGAAACUAAGGCCGAGGGUGAAUUUCUGCUAUUGGCUUCUCUCUUGGGAGCUGCGGUGUUCUCAACGUCAGUUUCCUGGGUCAUGAAGGACCCCUGGUUUGCCCAUGCUUUGUUUCAAAUUCUUUCGCCCAUAAGCAGUAGACACCUUUCUUCAUCCUUUUAGCUGUUCCUCACUAGGCUACCACUGGCCAGACAUCUUAAACUUUCUCACUGAGGCUGGGGCUCCGGAGUCUCCGGGGUUCUUGUCGUUACCCUGGCUGCAACACAGGUGUCCCUCAGAGAGCUGGGGCACCAGAGCUGAUGAGAAAUCAAAAAACUUUCGCUCGCCCUAAGCAUCUGCGGUCAGUCUAAACCAGAGAUAGGAGUCUUUGCAGCAACACACGCACGUUUUGUCCUGGGCUCUGCCCCCAUCCCGCUGCACACACCCUGGGAGCCACCUUUCGGCAGAACAUCCCUCCCCCCGCACCCGUUACUAUCCUCAAGUCCGGCAAUCGGGGCGGGAGGGCUCCCGGUGCGCCUCUGGCUCGCGCGGCCUCCGCCCGAGCUGCGUGGCCGCGUGCGCACCGGGCGCUCGAGUCUCCGAGCAUGGCAGAUUUCCACCGGAUGACAUCAUGGGAGCGAGUGAGUGCCGGCUCUACCCGGGGCGGGGGUUGGGGGGGGGUGGGGGCGAAGGGGAGGGGAAAGGAGGGGAGAGGCUGCGAAGCAGAGCCAGAGCUGCUGCCUGGGGCCGGCUGUCUGUCCGCCAGCCGGGGAGGAGCGCUCCGGCCGCCGCUGACAAAGGAUGGGAGGAUGCCUGCACCCCGGGAUUCGGGCUGCGCGAAGCCCGGCGGUCGCCUGAGCGGCUUCGUUUCCCUCCGCUGCUGGACAGACGUCCUGAACCACAGCAUCUCUGGCCAUGGGACAUUUACACCUCCUCUUUGCUCUGCUUCUUGGUUCGCUCUACAUGAACGGACUUAUAUCUGGGGAAAUGUACCCAGGAAGAGUUUUGAGAGUAUCUUCCUAAUUGUCCUGCUGGGAUUAAACAGGACACCACUGUUUUUCGUAAGUUUGUCUAUUUUUAAUCUUAAUAAGGAAGAUUUUUCCACUGCAGAAAACUUUUUUUUAUUUCAUUUGGAAUUAGAGUUGAAUUUUGAUUCAAUGGGAGAUGUAAUUGAUUUUUUUUCAAGCUUUCUUUUACCUACAUAUUAUUCAAUUUCAAUGAAUCGUGGAAAAGCAUUUCUUUGUUAG